RNAcentral lists this ribosomal RNA (441 nucleotides) under uncultured Erysipelotrichaceae bacterium. RNAcentral's name for it is "bacterial SSU rRNA". It matches the Rfam family "Bacterial small subunit ribosomal RNA", at positions 349 to 782 of the family's 1533-position model. Lineage: Bacteria; Bacillati; Bacillota; Erysipelotrichia; Erysipelotrichales; Erysipelotrichaceae. The record is from RNAcentral.
CAGCAGUAGGGAAUUUUCGUCAAUGGGCGCAAGCCUGAACGAGCAAUGCCGCGUGAACGAGGAAGGUCUUCGGAUCGUAAAGUUCUGUUGAAGGGGAAAAAGAGCGGAGAGAGGAAAUGAUCUCUGAUUGAUAUUACCCUUCGAGGAAGUCACGGCUAACUACGUGCCAGCAGCCGCGGUAAUACGUAGGUGGCGAGCGUUAUCCGGAAUGAUUGGGCGUAAAGGGUGCGUAGGCGGCCUGCUAAGUCUGGAGUGAAAGGUACCGGCUCAACCGGUACAGGCUCUGGAAACUGGCGGGCUAGAGAGCAGGAGAGGGCGGUGGAACUCCAUGUGUAGCGGUAAAAUGCGUAGAUAUAUGGAAGAACACCAGUGGCGAAGGCGGCCGCCUGGCCUGUUGACUGACGCUGAGGCACGAAAGCGUGGGGAGCAAAUAGGAUUAGA